UUUAUAUGAGAGUUUGAUCCUGGCUCAGGAUGAACGCCGGCGGUGUGCCUAAUACAUGCAAGUCGUACGCACUGGCCCAACUGAUUGAUGGUGCUUGCACCUGAUUGACGAUGGAUCACCAGUGAGUGGCGGACGGGUGAGUAACACGUAGGUAACCUGCCCCGGAGCGGGGGAUAACAUUUGGAAACAGAUGCUAAUACCGCAUAACAACAAAAGCCGCAUGGCUUUUGUUUGAAAGAUGGCUUUGGCUAUCACUCUGGGAUGGACCUGCGGUGCAUUAGCUAGUUGGUAAGGUAAAGGCUUACCAAGGCGAUGAUGCAUAGCCGAGUUGAGAGACUGAUCGGCCACAAUGGAACUGAGACACGGUCCAUACUCCUACGGGAGGCAGCAGUAGGGAAUCUUCCACAAUGGGCGCAAGCCUGAUG
RNAcentral lists this ribosomal RNA (425 nucleotides) under Limosilactobacillus reuteri. RNAcentral describes it as "bacterial SSU rRNA". It matches the Rfam family "Bacterial small subunit ribosomal RNA", at positions 1 to 388 of the family's 1533-position model. The record is from RNAcentral. Lineage: Bacteria; Bacillati; Bacillota; Bacilli; Lactobacillales; Lactobacillaceae.